Molecule: ribosomal RNA, 253 nt
Filed under: uncultured bacterium
Lineage: Bacteria
Description: partial 16S ribosomal RNA
Rfam family: Bacterial small subunit ribosomal RNA
Source: RNAcentral
UACAGAGGUCUCAAGCGUUGUUCGGAUUUAUUGGGCGUAAAGGGUGCGUAGGCGGCAGAUCAAGUUAGAUGCGAAAUACCCGGGCUCAACUCGGGAACUGCAUUUAAUACUGCUCUGCUCGAGUAUUAGAGAAGAAGCUGGAAUUUACGGUGUAGCAGUGAAAUGCGUAGAUAUCGUAAAGAACGUCAGUGGCGAAAGCGAGCUUCUAGAUAAUUACUGACGCUGAGGCACGAAAGCUAGGGGAGCAAACGGG